UACGUAGGGCGCGAGCGUUGUCCGGAUUUAUUGGGCGUAAAGAGCGUGUAGGCGGCUUUACAGGUCCGUUGUGAAAACUCGAGGCUCAACCUCGAGACGCCGGUGGAAACCGUAAAGCUAGAGUCCGGAAGAGGAGAGUGGAAUUCCUGGUGUAGCGGUGAAAUGCGCAGAUAUCAGGAAGAACGCCCGUGGCGAAGGCGGCUCUCUGGGACGGUACUGACGCUGAGACGCGAAAGCGUGGGGAGCGAACAGG
Molecule: ribosomal RNA, 253 nt
Filed under: uncultured bacterium
Lineage: Bacteria
Description: partial 16S ribosomal RNA
Rfam family: Bacterial small subunit ribosomal RNA
Source: RNAcentral